UGGGGAAUAUUGCACAAUGGGCGCAAGCCUGAUGCAGCAAUGCCGCGUGAGUGAAGACGGCCUUAGGGUUGUAAAACUCUUUCGCUAGGGAAGAUAAUGACGGUACCUAGUAAAGAAGUCCCGGCUAACUCCGUGCCAGCAGCCGCGGUAAUACGGAGGGGACUAGCGUUGUUCGGAAUUACUGGGCGUAAAGCGCACGUAGGCGGACCAGAAAGUUGGGGGUGAAAUCCCGGGGGCUCAACCCCGGAACUGCCUCCAAAACUAUUGGUCUAGAGUUCGAGAGAGGUGAGUGGAAUUCCAAGUGUAGAGGUGAAAUUCGUAGAUAUUAGGUGGAACACCAGUGGCGAAGGCGCCUAACUGGUCCGGUACUGACGCUGAGGAACGAAAGCGUGGGGAGCAAACAGGAUUAGAUACCCUGGUAGUCCACGCCGUAAACGAUGAGUGCUAGAUGUUGGGAUUUUCGGAUUUCAGUGUCGCAGCUAACGCAUUAAG
This 492-nucleotide ribosomal RNA is filed under the name uncultured bacterium. RNAcentral describes it as "bacterial SSU rRNA". It matches the Rfam family "Bacterial small subunit ribosomal RNA", at positions 355 to 864 of the family's 1533-position model. The record is from RNAcentral.